UUUCAUAUCCAAUGUUCGAGCGAUUGUGUUGCCCAAGUCAACCUGAUGAAUCCUUUGUUAGGGUUUCGCUUGCGUCAUUUGAGAUUCUUCUUCUCCAAUCGAAAUACUUCCAUUUCAGAUUCAUCACAUUUAACCGCCACUUAACUCCAUCAACACAAUCUAGCCGUCGAUGUGAUCUUCUGUCUUACGAGGCGGUUUAUCUUUGAGUAUAAAAAGGUCAACUAUAGGAGGCCAACACGUACUCUAUGGAAAGGGAAGAUGGUGAUCGGAAAAGAUGCCCUUUUCGUGAUCAUGGGUCUUAAGAGACUGACAUAGGUGGCCAGAAAUUGAAAAGACUUAAGCAAACCACUGAUUAUUGCAUUCAAAAGAGUUUGAGGCGGGAGAAGAAGACUUGCUCCUUCUAUGAGACGCCUUCCACAAUGUACUCUGAGCUCUCCUUCAUACUAGUUGUUUUUAUCAUCUCAUCAUAUCAUAUUUAGUGGCAUCCAAAACGAGCAAGGAGGUGUUUUGAGAAGCGGCGGGAAGUGGUGGAGGCAGAGGCCAAGGUGGUGGCUACAGAGG
Molecule: long non-coding RNA, 561 nt
Organism: Brassica oleracea var. oleracea
Lineage: Eukaryota; Viridiplantae; Streptophyta; Magnoliopsida; Brassicales; Brassicaceae
Exons: 2
Source: RefSeq, a predicted model, not a curated record